Molecule: long non-coding RNA, 354 nt
Filed under: Polistes fuscatus (common paper wasp)
Lineage: Eukaryota; Metazoa; Arthropoda; Insecta; Hymenoptera; Vespidae
Description: uncharacterized LOC122517064
Source: RNAcentral
ACACGAAUGAACAACGAGAACCGUUGGCCCACAACGAAAGUGAGAUCCUGCGCGUGGCGCUUCAGACCUGUCUCAUGCCAAUCGAUAAACAUAUUCUGAAAAAUCUGAAGACAUUCUGAUGAGUUUAAAGAUGAUGCUGUUAUAAAAAUUUUACAGGGAAGUCGCAAGGUAGUUGGACAGGUGUUGGAUAAUCGUAAUCUUACAUUCUUUUUCAUAAUUUUCAAAGUAAUUUAUAAUAGUACAGUACAAUAUUAAUGAAAUCAAUUAUAUAUUAAACAUCAUUUGUUAUUGUUGUUGUUUUUUGUUUUUUUGUAUGCAUUAUGUUACCAGAUAACAAUACAGAUGAGAUUAGCA